AGGCCUCAUUUGCCUAGCCCUAGGACCGGGCCUGGUGGACAUCAGAGCAAGAACUUGUUCUUGUCGAGCUUGGUAGUUGAUUAUGAUCCCUUGUUGCCGUGCCAUUGCUUCUCUAGUCUCAAGGGUUUGAAGAUUAUAGACUAAGUAGAGGACAUCUACAAGGAGGAGGAUUACUUAAGGACAUAUUCAACCUCCAUUUCUCCCAUCAAAAGCCUAGAAAUGUGGCCUAAUUAUGCAGGUUUCAACCCUUUAGACUCCACCAUUCUACCCAAAGAAGCUAAGGUCGAGAGGUUAAAAAAGGAUAGACGAAAGGAAGUUAGUGAACACGAGGCUAGGUCAUCAUCAAGCAAUGCAAGUAGAGUUGGCCUGACCAUGAAGUGUGGACAACCUGGCCAUGACAAGAUAAGGUGCACAAGGUUACCACCACCAGCAGCAAAUUAAGCCAAUACUUGUGUUUAGUGUUUACUGAUAUAUUUUAACUUCUUAACUUUUCAAACUGCUACAAUCUGUUGUUAUUGAUAAUUCACUUUCUACAUAGAUGGAUCAUCUGAUUGCGCUAUCGAGCAUUCAGUAACACGGUGA
Molecule: long non-coding RNA, 582 nt
Filed under: Olea europaea subsp. europaea
Lineage: Eukaryota; Viridiplantae; Streptophyta; Magnoliopsida; Lamiales; Oleaceae
Source: RNAcentral